Molecule: ribosomal RNA, 253 nt
Filed under: uncultured bacterium
Lineage: Bacteria
Description: partial 16S ribosomal RNA
Rfam family: Bacterial small subunit ribosomal RNA
Source: RNAcentral
UACGAAGGGGGCUAGCGUUGUUCGGAUUUACUGGGCGUAAAGCGCACGUAGGCGGGCUGUUAAGUCCGGGGUGAAAUCCUGGAGCUCAACUCCAGAACUGCCUUUGAUACUGGCAACCUAGAGGCUGGAAGAGGUUAGUGGAAUUCCCAGUGUAGAGGUGAAAUUCGUAGAUAUUGGGAAGAACACCAGUGGCGAAGGCGGCUAACUGGUCCAGAUCUGACGCUGAGGUGCGAAAGCGUGGGGAGCAAACAGG